RNAcentral lists this ribosomal RNA (912 nucleotides) under Coniothyrium dispersellum. RNAcentral's name for it is "LSU rRNA". It matches the Rfam family "Eukaryotic large subunit ribosomal RNA", at positions 35 to 966 of the family's 3401-position model. The record is from RNAcentral. Lineage: Eukaryota; Fungi; Ascomycota; Dothideomycetes; Pleosporales; Coniothyriaceae.
UAAGCAUAUCAAUAAGCGGAGGAAAAGAACCAACAGGGAUUGCCCUAGUAACGGCGAGUGAAGCGGCAACAGCUCAAAUUUGAAAUCUGGCGUCUUUGGCGUCCGAGUUGUAAUUUGCAGAGGGCGCUUUGGCAUUGGCAGCGGUCCAAGUUCCUUGGAACAGGACGUCACAGAGGGUGAGAAUCCCGUACGUGGUCGCUAGCCUUUACCGUGUAAAGCCCCUUCGACGAGUCGAGUUGUUUGGGAAUGCAGCUCUAAAUGGGAGGUAAAUUUCUUCUAAAGCUAAAUACUGGCCAGAGACCGAUAGCGCACAAGUAGAGUGAUCGAAAGAUGAAAAGCACUUUGGAAAGAGAGUUAAAAAGCACGUGAAAUUGUUGAAAGGGAAGCGCUUGCAGCCAGACUUGCCUGUAGUUGCUCAUCCGGGUUUUUACCCGGUGCACUCUUCUAUAGGCAGGCCAGCAUCAGUUUGGGCGGUUGGAUAAAGGUCUCUGUCAUGUACCUCUCUUCGGGGAGAACUUAUAGGGGAGACGACAUGCAACCAGCCUGGACUGAGGUCCGCGCAUCUGCUAGGAUGCUGGCGUAAUGGCUGUAAGCGGCCCGUCUUGAAACACGGACCAAGGAGUCUAACAUCUAUGCGAGUGUUUGGGUGUCAAGCCCGAGCGCGUAAUGAAAGUGAACGGAGGUGGGAACCUUUCGGGGUGCACCAUCGACCGAUCCUGAUGUCUUCGGAUGGAUUUGAGUAAGAGCAUAGCUGUUGGGACCCGAAAGAUGGUGAACUAUGCUUGAAUAGGGUGAAGCCAGAGGAAACUCUGGUGGAGGCUCGCAGCGGUUCUGACGUGCAAAUCGAUCGUCAAAUUUGGGCAUAGGGGCGAAAGACUAAUCGAACUAUCUAGUAGCUGGUUCCUGCCGAAU